ACCACUGUCCAAAACCUUUGUAGGAACUCUUUUCAUACCUUUUGGAGUUAGUUAGACCAAAAAAAAUGAAAAAUGAAAUAAAAAUAUUUGGGGUGUUCGGGCUUCCUGAAGGUCAUCCCCGGGUAUUAGGUUUUGGGGCUAGGGUAAGGUUUAAGGUUUUUGGCGUAAGGGUUAAAAUCCCUGUCCAAAACCUUUGUAGGAACUCUUUUCCAACCUUUUGGAGUUAGUUAGACCAAAAAAAAAAUGAAAAAUUAAAAAAAAAUAUUUGGGGUGUUCGGGCUUCCUGAAGGUAAUACCCGGGUAUUAGGUUAUGGGGCUUAGGUAAAGUUUAAGGUUUUUGGCGUUAGGGUUAAAAUCACUGUCCAAAACCUUUGUAGGAACUCUUUUCCAACCUUUUGGAGUCAAUUAGACCAAAAAAAAAAAGAAAAAUGAAAAAAAAAUAUUUGGGGUGUUCAGGCUUCCUGAAGGUAAUACCCGGGUAUUAGGUUAUGGGGCUAUGGUAAGGUUUAAGGUUUUUGGCGAUAGGGUUAAACUAACUUUCCAAAACCUUUUUAGGAACAUGUUUCAGACCUUUUGGAGUUAGUUAGACCAAAAAAAAAUGAAAAAUGAAAAAAAAAUAUUUGGGGUGUUCGGGCUUCCUGAAGGUAAUACCCGGGUAUUAGGUUAUGGGGCUAUGGUAAGGUUUAAGGUUUUUGGCAUUAGGGUUAAAAUCACUGUCCAAAACCUUUGUAGGAACUCUUUUCCAACCUUUUGGAGUUAGUUAGACCAAAAAAAAAAGAAAAAUGAAAAAAAAAUAUUUGGGGUUUUCGGGCUUCCUGAAGGUAAUACCCGGGUAUUAGGUUUUUGGGCUAGGGUAAGGUUUGAGGUUUAGGCGUAAGGGUUAAAAUCACUGUCCAAAACCUUUUUUAGGAACAUGUUUCAGACCUUUUGCAGUUGGUUAAACCAAAAAAAAAAAGUAAAAUGAAAAAAAAAUAUUUGGGGUGUUCGGGCUUCCUGAAGGUAAUACCCGGGUAUUAGGUUAUGGGGCUAUGGUAAGGUUAAAGGUUUUUGGCUUUAGGGUUAAAAUCACUGUCCAAAACCUUUGUAGAAACUCGUUUCCAACCUUUUGGCGUUAGUUAGACCAAAAAAAAAUGAAAAAUGAAAAAAAAAAUAUUUGGGUUGUUCGGGCUUCCUGAAGGUAAUACCCAGGUAUUAGGUUAUGGGGCUUUGGAAAGUUUUAGGUUUUUUGCAUUAGGGUUAAAAUCACUAUCCGAAACCAUUGUAGGAACUCUUUUCCAACAGUUCGGAGUUAGUUAGACCAAAAAAAAAUGAAAAAUGAAAUAAAAAAUAUUUGGGGUGUUCGGGCUUCCUGAAGGUAAUACCCGGGUAUUAGGUUAUGGGGCUAGGGUAAGGUUUGAGGUUUUUGGCAUUAGGGUUAAAAUCACUGUCCAAAACCUUUGUAGGAACUCUUUUCCAACCUUUUGGAGUCAGUUAGACCAAAAAAAAAUGAAAAAUGAAAAAAAAAUAUUUGGGGUUUUCGGGCUUCCUGAAGGUAAUACCCGGGUAUCAGGUUAUGGGGCUAUGGUAAGGUUUAAGGUUUUUGGCGUUAGGGUUAAAAUCACUGUCCAAAACCUUUGUAGGAACUCUUUUCCAACCUUUUGGAGUCAGUUAGACCAAAAAAAAUGAAAAAUGAAAUAAAAAAUAUUUGGGGUGUUCAGGCUUCCUGAAGGUAAUACCCGGGUAUUAGGUUAUGGGGCUAGGGUAAGGUUUUAGGUUUUUGGCAUUAGGGUUAAAAUCACUGUCCAAAACCUUUGUAGGAACUCUUUUCCAAACUUUUGGAGUCAGUUAGACCAAAAAAAAUGAAAAAUGAAAUAAAAAAUAUUUGGGGUGUUCGGGCUUCCUGAAGGUAAUACCCGGGUAUCAGGUUAUGGGGCUAUGGUAAGGUUUAAGGUUUUUGGCGUUAGGGUUAAAAUAACUGUCCAAAACCUUUUUAUGAACAUGUUUCAGACCUUUUGGAGUUGGUUACACCAAAAAAAAAUCUAAAAUGAAAAAAAAAUAUUUGGGGUCUUCAGGUAUUAGGUUAUGGGGCUAUGGUAAGGGUUCAGUUUUUUGGCAUUAGGGUUAAAAUUAUUGUCCAAAACCUUUGUAGGAACUCUUUUCCAACCUUUUGGAGUUAGUUAGACCAAAAAAAAAAAGAAAAAUGAAAAAAAAAUAUUUGGGGUUUUCGGGCUUCCUGAAGGCAAUACCCGGGAAUCAGUUUCUGGGGCUUUGGAAAGGUUUAAGGUUUUUGGCGUUAGGGAUAAAAUCACUGUCCAAAACCUUUGUAGGAACUCUUUUCCAAGCUUUUGGAGUUAGUUAGACCAAAAAAAAAAAAGAAAAAUGAAAAAAAAUAUAUUUGGGGUGUUCGGGCUUCCUGAAGGUAAUACCCAGGUAUUAGGUUAUGGGGCUAGGGUAAGGUUUUAGGUUUUUGGCGUUAGGGUUAAAAUCAAUGUCCAAAACCUUUGGAGGAACUCUUUUCCAAGCUUUUGGAGUUAGUUAGACCAAAAAAACAUGAAAAAUAAAAAAAAAUAUUUGUGGUUUUUGGGCUUCCUGAAGGUAAUACCCGGGUAUUAGGUUAUGGGGCUUUUGAAAGUUUUAGGGUUUUUGGCAUUAGGGUUAAAAUCACUGUCCAAAACCUUUGUAAGAACUCUUUUCCAAGCUUUUGGAGUUAGUUAGACCAAAAAAAAAUGAAAAAAAAAAUAUAUAUUUGGGGUGUUCGGGCUUCCUGAAGGUAAUACCCGGGUAUUAGGUUAUGGGGCUAUGGUAAGGUUUAAGGUUUUUGGCGUUAGGGUUAAAAUCACUGUCCAAAACCUUUGUAGGAACUCUUUUCCAAGCUUUUGGAGUUGUUACACUAAAAAAAAUGUAAAAUGAAAAAAAAAUAUUUGGGGUGUUCGGGCUUCCUGAAGGUAAUACCCGGGUAUUAGGUUAUGGGGCUAUGGUAAGGUUUGAGGUUUUUGGCGUUAGGGUUAAAAUCACUGUCCAAAACCUUUUUUAGGAACAUGUUUCAGACCUUUUGCAGUUGGUUAAACCAAAAAAAAAAAGUAAAAUGAAAAAAAAAUAUUUGGGGUGUUCGGGCUUCCUGAAGGUAAUACCCGGGUAUUAGGUUAUGGGGCUUAGGAAAGGUUUAAGGUUUUUGGCUUUAGGGUUAAAAUCACUGUCCAAAACCUUUGUAGGAACUCUUUUCCAAGCUUUUGGAGUUAGUUAGACCAAAAAAAAAUGAAAAAUGAAAAAAAAAAUAUUUGGGGUGUUCGGGCUUCCUGAAGGUAAUACCCGGGUAUUAGGUUAUGGGGCUUUGGAAAGUUUUAGGUUUUUUGCAUUAGGGUUAAAAUCACUGUCCAAAACCUUUGUAGGAACUCUUUUCCAACAGUUCGGAGUUAGUUAGACCAAAAAAAAAUGAAAAAUGAAAUAAAAAAUAUUUGGGGUGUUCAGGCUUCCUGAAGGUAAUACCCGGGUAUUAGGUUAUGGGGCUAGGGUAAGGUUUGAGGUUUUUGGCAUUAGGGUUAAAAUCACUGUCCAAAACCUUUGUAGGAACUCUUUUCCAACCUUUUGGAGUUAGACCAAAAAAGAAUGAAAAAUGAAAAGAAAAUAUUUGGGGUGUUCGGGCUUCCUGAAGGUAAUACCCGGGUAUUAGGUUAUGGGGCUAUGGUAAGGUUUAAGGUUUUUGGCGUUAGGGUUAAAAUCACUGUCCAAAACCUUUGUAGGAACUCUUUUCCAACCUUUUGGAGUCAGUUAGACCAAAAAAAAGAAAAAUGAAAUAAAAAAUAUUUGGGGUGUUCAGGCUUCCUGAAGGUAAUACCCGGUAUUAGGUUUUGGGGCUAGGGUAAGGUUUGAGGUUUUUGGCAUUAGGGUUAAAAUCACUGUCCAAAACAUUUUUAGGAACAUGUUUCAGACCUUUUGGAGUUUGUACACCAAAAUAAAAAUGUAAAAUGAAAAAAAAAUAUUUGGGGUGUUCGGGCUUCCUGAAGGUAAUACCCGGGUAUUAGGUUAUGGGGCUAAGGUAAGGUUUAAGGUUUUUGGUGUUAGGGUUAAAAUCACUGUCCAAAACCUUUGUAGGAACUCUUUUCCAACCUUUUGGAGUCAGUUAGACCAAAAAAAAUGUAAAAUGAAAAAAAAAUAUUUGGGGUGUUCGGGCUUCCUGAAGGUAAUACCCCGGUAUUAGGUUAUGGGGCUAUGGUAAGGGUUAAGGUUUUUGGAUUAGGGUUAAAAUCACUGUCCAAAACCUUUUUAGGAACAUGUUUCAGACCUUUUGCAGUUGGUUAAACCAAAAAAAAAUGUAAAAUGAAAAAAAUAUAUUUGGGGUGUUCGGGCUUCCUGAAGGACCUAUUAGGUUAUGGGACUAUGGUAAGGUUUAAGGUUUUUGGCGUUAGGGUUAAAACCACUGUCCAAAACCUUUGUAGGAACUCUUUUCAUACCUUUUGGAGUUAGUUAGACCAAAAAAAAUGAAAAAUGAAAUAAAAAUAUUUGGGGUGUUCGGGCUUCCUGAAGGUAAUACCCGGGUAUUAGGUUAUGGGGCUAUGGUAAGGGUUCAGUUUUUUGGCAUUAGGGUUAAAAUUAUUGUCCAAAACCUUUGUAGGAACUCUUUUCCAACCUUUUGGAGUUAGUUAGACCAAAAAAAAAUGAAAAAUGAAAAAAAAAAUAUUUGGGGUUUUCGGGCUUCCUGAAGGUAAUACCCGGGUAUUAGGUUAUGGGGCUUUGGAAAGGUUUAAGGUUUUUGGCGUUAGGGUUAAAAUCACUGUCCAAAACCUUUGUAGGAACUCUUUUCCAAGCUUUUGGAGUUAGUUAGACCAAAAAAAAAUGAAAAAUGAAAAAAAAAUAUUUGGGGUGUUCGGGCUUCCUGAAGGUAAUCCCCGGGUAUUAGGUUAUGGGGCUAGGGUAAGGUUUUAGGUUUUUGGCGUUAGGGUUAAAAUCAAUGUCCAAAACCUUUGGAGGAACUCUUUUCCAAGCUUUUGGAGUUAGUUAGACCAAAAAAACAUGAAAAAUAAAAAAAAAAUAUUUGUGGUUUUUGGGCUUCCUGAAGGUAAUACCCGGGUAUUAGGUUAUGGGGCUUUUGAAAGUUUUAGGGUUUUUGGCAUUAGGGUUAAAAUCACUGUCCAAAACCUUUGUAGGAACUCUUUUCCAACAUUUCGGAGUUCGUUAGACCAAAAAAAAGAUGAAAAAAUAUAUAUAUAUAUUUGGGGUGUUCGGGCUUUCUUAAGGUAAUACCCGGGUAUUGAAUUAUGGGGCUAUGGUAAGGUUUAAGGUUUUUGGUGUUAAGGUUAAAAUCACUGUCCAAAACCUUUGUAGGAACUCUUUUCCAAGCUUUUGGAGCUGGUUACACUAAAAAAAAUGUAAAAUGAAAAAAAAUAUUUGGGGUGUUCGGGCUUCCUGAAGGUAAUACCCGGGUAUUAGGUUAUGGGGCUAUGGUAAGGUUUGAGGUUUAGGCGUUAGGGUUAAAAUCACUGUCCAAAACCUUUUUUAGGAACAUGUUUCAGACCUUUUGCAGUUGGUUAAACCAAAAAAAAAAAGUAAAAUGAAAAAAAAAUAUUUGGGGUGUUCGGGCUUCCUGAAGGUAAUACCCGGUAUUAGGUUAUGGGGCUUAGGAAAGGUUUAAGGUUUUUGGCUUUAGGGUUAAAAUCACUGUCCAAAACCUUUGUAGGAACUCUUUUCCAAGCGUUUGGAGUUAGUUAGACCAAAAAAAAAUGAAAAAUGAAAAAAAAAAUAUUUGGGUUGUUCGGGCUUCCUGAAGGUAAUACCCAGGUAUUAGGUUAUGGGGCUUUGGAAAGUUUUAGGUUUUUUGCAUUAGGGUUAAAAUCACUAUCCGAAACCUUUGUAGGAACUCUUUUCCAACAGUUCGGAGUUAGUUAGACCAAAAAAAAAUGAAAAAUGAAAUAAAAAAUAUUUGGGGUGUUCAGGCUUCCUGAAGGUAAUACCCGGGUAUUAGGUUAUGGGGCUAGGGUAAGGUUUGAGGUUUUUGGCAUUAGGGUUAAAAUCACUGUCCAAAACCUUUGUAGGAACUCUUUUCCAACCUUUUGGAGUUAGACCAAAAAAGAAUGAAAAAUGAAAAGAAAAUAUUUGGGGUUUUCGGGCUUCCUGAAGGUAAUACCCGGGUAUCAGGUUAUGGGGCUAUGGUAAGGUUUAAGGUUUUUGGCGUUAGGGUUAAAAUCACUGUCCAAAACCUUUGUAGGAACUCUUUUCCAAGCUUUUGGAGCUGGUUACACUAAAAAAAAUGUAAAAUGAAAAAAAAAUAUUUGGGGUGUUCGGGCUUCCUGAAGGUAAUACCCGGGUAUUAGGUUAUGGGGCUAUGGUAAGGUUUGAGGUUUAGGCGUUAGGGUUAAAAUCACUGUCCAAAACCUUUUUUAGGAACAUGUUUCAGACCUUUUGCAGUUGGUUAAACCAAAAAAAAAAGUAAAAUGAAAAAAAAAUAUUUGGGGUCUUCGGGCUUCCUGAAGGUAAUACCCGGUAUUCGGUUAUGGGGCUUAGGAAAGGUUUAAGGUUUUUGGCAUGAGGGUUAAAAUCACUGUCCAAAACCUUUGUAGGAACUCUUUUCCAAGCGUUUGGAGUUAGUUAGACCAAAAAAAAAUGAAAAAUGAAAAAAAAAAUAUUUGGGUUGUUCGGGCUUCCUGAAGGUAAUACCCAGGUAUUAGGUUAUGGGGCUUUGGAAAGUUUUAGGUUUUUUGCAUUAGGGUUAAAAUCACUAUCCGAAACCUUUGUAGGAACUCUGUUCCAACAGUUCGGAGUUAGUUAGACCAAAAAAAAAUGAAAAAUGAAAUGAAAAAUAUUUGGGGUGUUCAGGCUUCCUGAAGGUAAUACCCGGGUAUUAGGUUAUGGGGCUAGGGUAAGGUUUAAGGUUUUUGGCAUUAGGGUUAAAAUCACUGUCCAAAACCUUUGUAGGAACUCUUUUCCAACCUUUUGGAGUUAGACCAAAAAAGAAUGAAAAAUGAAAAGAAAAUAUUUGGGGUUUUCGGGCUUCCUGAAGGUAAUACCCGGGUAUUAGGUUAUGGGGCUAUGGUAAGGUUUAAGGUUUUUGGCGUUAGGGUUAAAAUCACUGUCCAAAACCUUUGUAGGAACUCUUUUCCAACCUUUUGGAGUCAGUAAGACAAAAAAAAUGAAAAAUGAAAUAAAAAAUAUUUGGGGUGUUCAGGCUUCCUGAAGGUAAUACCCGGUAUUAGGUUAUGGGGCUAUGGUAAGGUUUAAGGUUUUUGGCGAUAGGGUUAAACUAACUGUCCAAAACCUUUUUAUGAACAUGUUUCAGACCUUUUGGAGUUGGUUACACCAAAAAAAAAUGUAAAAUGAAAAAAAAAUAUUUGGGGUCUUCAGGUAUUAGGUUAUGGGGCUAUGGUAAGGGUUCAGUUUUUUGGCAUUAGGGUUAAAAUUAUUGUCCAAAACCUUUGUAGGAACUCUUUUCCAACCUUUUGGAGUUAGUUAGACCAAAAAAAAAAAGAAAAAUGAAAAAAAAAUAUUUGGGGUUUUCGGGCUUCCUGAAGGCAAUACCCGGGAAUCAGUUUCUGGGGCUUUGGAAAGGUUUAAGGUUUUUGGCGUUAGGGAUAAAAUCACUGUCCAAAACCUUUGUAGGAACUCUUUUCCAAGCUUUUGGAGUUAGUUAGACCAAAAAAAAAAAAGAAAAAUGAAAAAAAAUAUAUUUGGGGUGUUCGGGCUUCCUGAAGGUAAUACCCAGGUAUUAGGUUAUGGGGCUAGGGUAAGGUUUUAGGUUUUUGGCGUUAGGGUUAAAAUCAAUGUCCAAAACCUUUGGAGGAACUCUUUUCCAAGCUUUUGGAGUUAGUUAGACCAAAAAAACAUGAAAAAUAAAAAAAAAAUAUUUGUGGUUUUUGGGCUUCCUGAAGGUAAUACCCGGGUAUUAGGUUAUGGGGCUUUUGAAAGUUUUAGGGUUUUUGGCAUUAGGGUUAAAAUCACUGUCCAAAACCUUUGUAGGAACUCUUUUCCAACAUUUCGGAGUUCGUUAGACCAAAAAAAAGAUGAAAAAAUAUAUAUAUAUAUUUGGGGUGUUCGGGCUUUCUUAAGGUAAUACCCGGGUAUUGAAUUAUGGGGCUAUGGUAAGGUUUAAGGUUUUUGGUGUUAAGGUUAAAAUCACUGUCCAAAACCUUUGUAGGAACUCUUUUCCAAGCUUUUGGAGCUGGUUACACUAAAAAAAAUGUAAAAUGAAAAAAAAAUAUUUGGGGUGUUCGGGCUUCCUGAAGGUAAUACCCGGGUAUUAGGUUAUGGGGCUAUGGUAAGUUUUAAGGUUUUUGGUGUUAGGGUUAAAAUCACUGUCCAAAACCUUUGUAGGAACUCUUUUCCAACCUUUUGGAGUUAGUUAGACCAAAAAAAAAAGAAAAAAGGAAUAAAAAAUAUUUGGGGUUUUCGGGCUUCCUGAAGGUAAUACCCGGGUAUUAGGUUUUGGGGCUAGGGUAAGGUUUGAGGUUUUUGGCAUUAGGGUUAAAAUCACUGUCCAAAACAUUUUUAGGAACAUGUUUCAGACCUUUUGGAGUUUGUACACCAAAAUAAAAAUGUAAAAUGAAAAAAAAAUAUUUGGGGUGUUCGGGCUUCCUGAAGGUAAUACCCGGGUAUUAGGUUUUGGGGCUAAGGUAAGGUUUAAGGUUUUUGGUGUGAGGGUUAAAAUAACUGUCCAAGGCCUUUGUAUGAACUCUUUUCCAACCUUUUGGAGUCAGUUACACCAAAAAAAAAAUGUAAAAUGAAAAAAAAAUAUUUGGGGUGUUCGGGCUUCCUGAAGGUAAUACCCCGGUAUUAGGUUAUGGGGCUAUGGUAAGGGUUAAGGUUUUUGGAUUAGGGGUUAAAAUCACUGUCCAAAACCUUUUUAGGAACAUGUUUCAGACCUUUUGCAGUUGGUUAAACCAAAAAAAAAUGUAAAAUGAAAAAAAUAUAUUUGGGGUGUUCGGGCUUCCUGAAGGACCUAUUAGGUUAUGGGACUAUGGUAAGGUUUAAGGUUUUUGGCGUUAGGGUUAAAACCACUGUCCAAAACCUUUGUAGGAACUCUUUUCAUACCUUUUGGAGUUAGUUAGACCAAAAAAAAUGAAAAAAGGAAAUAAAUAUAUUUGGGGUGUUCGGGCUUCCUGAAGGUAAUACCCGGGUAUUAGGUUAUGGGGCUAUGGUAAGGGUUCAGUUUUUUGGCAUUAGGGUUAAAAUUAUUGUCCAAAACCUUUGUAGGAACUCUUUUCCAACCUUUUGGAGUUAGUUAGACCAAAAAAAAAAAGAAAAAUGAAAAAAAAAUAUUUGGGGUUUUUGGGCUUCCUGAAGGCAAUACCCGGGAAUCAGUUUCUGGGGCUUUGGAAAGGUUUAAGGUUUUUGGCGUUAGGGUUAAAAUCACUGUCCAAAACCUUUGUAGGAACUCUUUUCCAAGCUUUUGGAGUUAGUUAGACCAAAAAAAAUGAAAAAUGAAAAAAAAAAUAUUUGGGGUGUUCAUGCUUCCUGAAGGUAAUACCCAGGUAUUAGGUUAUGGGGCUAGGGUAAGGUUUUAGGUUUUUGGCGUUAGGGUUAAAAUCAAUGUCCAAAACCUUUGGAGGAACUCUUUUCCAAGCUUCUGCAGUUAGUUAGACCAAAAAAACAUGAAAAAUAAAAAAAUAUAUAUUUGGGGUGUUCAGGCAUCCUGAAGGUAAUACCCGGGUAUUAGGUUUUGGGGCUAAGGUAAGGUUUAAGGUUUUUGGCGUGAGGGUUAAAAUCACUGUCAAAAACCUUUGUAGGAACUCUUUUCCAACCUUUUGGAGUCAGUAUGACCAAAAAAAAAAAAAAAAAAAAAAAAAAAAUGUAUUUGGGGUGUUCGGGCUUCCUGAAGGUAAUACCCGGGUAUUAGGUUAUGGGGCUUAGGAAAGGUUUAAGGUUUUUGGCGUUAGGGUUAAAAUCACUGUCCAAAACCUUUGUAGGAACUCUUUUCCAACCUUUUGGAGUUAGGUAGACCAAAAAAAAAAGAAAAAAGAAAAAAAAAUAUUUGGGGUGUUCGGGCUUCCUGAAGGUAAUACCCGGGUAUUAGGUUUUUGGGCUAGGGUAAGGUUUGAGGUUUAGGCGUUAGGGUUAAAAUCACUGUCCAAAACCUUUUUAGGAACAUGUUUCAGACCUUUUGCAGUUGGUUAAACCAAAAAAAAAAAGUAAAAUGAAAAAAAAAUAUUUGGGGUGUUCGGGCUUCCUGAAGGUAAUACCCGGUAUUAGGUUAUGGGGCUUAGGAAAGGUUUAAGGUUUUUGGCUUUAGGGUUAAAAUCACUGUCCAAAACCUUUGUAGGAACUCUUUUCCAAGCGUUUGGAGUUAGUUAGACCAAAAAAAAAUGAAAAAUGAAAAAAAAAAUAUUUGGGUUGUUCGGGCUUCUUGAAGGUAAUACCCAGGUAUUAGGUUAUGGGGCUUUGGAAAGUUUUAGGUUUUUUGCAUUAGGGUUAAAAUCACUAUCCGAAACCUUUGUAGGAACUCUUUUCCAACAGUUCGGAGUUAGUUAGACCAAAAAAAAAUGAAAAAUUAAAUAAAAAAUAUUUGGGGUGUUCAGGCUUCCUGAAGGUAAUACCCGGGUAUUAGGUUAUGGGGCUAGGGUAAGGUUUGAGGUUUUUGGCAUUAGGGUUAAAAUCACUGUCCAAAACCUUUGUAGGAACUCUUUUCCAACCUUUUGGAGUUAGACCAAAAAAGAAUGAAAAAUGAAAAGAAAAUAUUUGGGUUUUCGGGCUUCCUGAAGGUAAUACCCGGGUAUCAGGUUAUGGGGCUAUGGUAAGGUUUAAGGUUUUUGGCGUUAGGGUUAAAAUCACUGUCCAAAACCUUUGUAGGAACUCUUUUCCAACCUUUUGGAGUCAGUUAGACAAAAAAAAUGAAAAAUGAAAUAAAAAAUAUUUGGGGUGUUCAGGCUUCCUGAAGGUAAUACCCAGGUAUUAGGUUAUGGGGCUAGGGUAAGGUUUUAGGUUUUUGGCAUUAGGGUUAAAAUCACUGUCCAAAACCUUUGUAGAACCCUUUUCCAACCUUUUGGAGUCAGUUAGACAAAAAAAAUGAAAAAUGAAAUAAAAAAUAUUUGGGGUGUUCAGGCUUCCUGAAGGUAAUACCCGGUAUUAGGUUAUGGGGCUAUGGUAAGGUUUAAGGUUUUUGGCGAUAGGGUUAAACUAACUGUCCAAAACCUUUGUAGGAACUCUUUUCCAACCUUAUGGAGUUCGUUAGACCAAAAAAACAAGAAAAAUGAAAAAAAAAUAUUUGGGGUCUUCAGGUAUUAGGUUAUGGGGCUAUGGUAAGGGUUCAGUUUUUUGGCAUUAGGGUUAAAAUUAUUGUCCAAAACCUUUGUAGGAACUCUUUUCCAACCUUUUGGAGUUAGUUAGACCAAAAAAACAUGAAAAAUAAAAAAAAAAAUAUUUGUGGUUUUUGGGCUUCCUGAAGGUAAUACCCGGGUAUUAGGUUAUGGGGCUUUUGAAAGUUUUAGGGUUUUUGGCAUUAGGGUUAAAAUCACUGUCCAAAACCUUUGUAGGAACUCUUUUCAUACCUUUUGGAGUUAGUUAGACCAAAAAAAAUGAAAAAAGGAAAUAAAUAUAUUUGGGGUGUUCGGGCUUCCUGAAGGUAAUACCCGGGUAUUAGGUUAUGGGGCUAUGGUAAGGGUUCAGUUUUUUGGCAUUAGGGUUAAAAUUAUUGUCCAAAACCUUUGUAGGAACUCUUUUCCAACCUUUUGGAGUUAGUUAGACCAAAAAAAAAAGAAAAAUGAAAAAAAAAAUAUUUGGGGUUUUCGGGCUUCCUGAAGGCAAUAACCGGGAAUCAGUUUCUGGGGCUUUGGAAAGGUUUAAGGUUUUUGGCAUUAGGGAUAAAAUCACUGUCCAAAACCUUUGUAGGAACUCUUUACCAAGCUUUUGGAGUUAGUUACACCAAAAAAAAAUGAAAAAUGAAAAAAAAAAUAUUUGGGGUGUUCGGGCUUCCAUAAGGUAAUACCCAGGUAUUAGGUUAUGGGGCUAGGGUAAGGUUUUAGGUUUUUGGCGUUAGGGUUAAAAUCAAUGUCCAAAACCUUUGGAGGAACUCUUUUCCAAGCUUUUGGAGUUAGUUAGACCAAAAAAACAUGAAAAAUAAAAAUAUAUAUAUUUGGGGUGUUCGGGCAUCCUGAAGGUAAUACCCGGGUAUUAGGUUUUGGGGCUAAGGUAAGGUUUAAGGUUUUUGGCGUGAGGGUUAAAAUCGCUGUCUAAAACCUUUGUAGGAACUCUUUUCCAACCUUAUGGAGUCAGUAUGACCAAAAAAAAAAAAAAAAAAAAAAAAAAAUGUAUUUGGGUUGUUCGGGCUUCCUGAAGGUAAUACCCGGAUAUUAGGUUAUGGGGCUUAGGAAAGGUUUAAGGUUUUUGGCGUUAGGGUUAAAAUCACUGUCCAAAACCUUUGUAGGAACUCUUUUCCAACCUUUUUGAGUCAGUUAGACCAAAAUAAAAGAAAAAAGAAAAAAAUAUAUUUGCGGUUUUCAGGCUUCCUGGAGGUAAUACCCGGGUAUUAGGUUAUGGGGCUUAGGAAAGGUUUAAGGUUUUUGGUGAUAGGGUUAAAAUAACUGUCCAAAACCUUUUUAGGAACAUGUUUCAGACCUUUUGGAGUUGGUUAAACCAAAAAAAAAUGUAAAAUGAAAAAAAUAUAUUUGGGGUGUUCAGGCUUCCUGAAGGUAAUACCCGGGUAUGAGGUUAUGGGGCUAUGGUAAGGUUUAAGGUUUUUGACGUUAGGGUGAAAAUAACUGUCCAAAACCUUUGUAGGAACUCUUUUCCAACCUUAUGGAGUUCGUUAGACCAAAAAAAAAAAAAAAAGGAAAAAAAAUAUUUGGGGUGUUCGGGCUUACUGAAGGUAAUACCUGGGUAUUAGGUCUUGGGGCUAGGGUAAGGUUUGAGGUUUUUGGCAUU
Molecule: non-coding RNA, 12822 nt
Organism: Xyrichtys novacula (pearly razorfish)
Lineage: Eukaryota; Metazoa; Chordata; Actinopteri; Labriformes; Labridae
Source: the annotation of a GenBank genome assembly